ACAACUCUAGACAAAAUUAAAAAUAAUAGAAGCUUUAUAUUACAAGCCAAGGCCUCGAGGGCUCGAAUACAUCAGCUCGAAAACACAAGAGACAACGGAAGCAACAAUAUCUGAGUACAGACAUAAGUUAGACAAGUUUGCCUUAAGAAGGCUAGCACAAGAGCAACAUCGAUCGAAAAGGCAAGGCCUCCUGCCUAGGAGCCUCCUAACUACUCCUAGUCGUCGGUGGCCUCCACGUAGUAGUAAGCGCCCUCGGGGUAGUAGUAGUUGUCGGUGGUGGCGUCUGGAUCUGGGGCUCCACCAUCUGGUUGCAACAUCCAAGAAGAACGGAAAAAAGGGGAAAGAGGGGAGCAAAGCAACCGUGAGUACUCAUCCAAAGUAGGAUCUACACUACAUAUGCAUCGGUGCCAAUGAAAUGGGUAGUAUAUGUGGAAUGAACUGCAGAAUGCCAGAAGAGAAGUGGAAAGCCUAGCCUAUCGUAGACUAGCAUCUUCAAGCAGCUCCAGGCAUCUUGCAGCAUCAGAAGAGAUAAGAGUAGGAUAAAGUAAAGUAGUACUAGUAGUGUAUCAACCUCGGCCAGAGAUCCUUUCUCGACUCCCUAUGAGAAAGCAAUCCUAGAGCCAUACUAUCCAUUUCUCAUCUCAAGUAUCCAGUUCUAGUUGUAUCGAUCGGGAUACAACUCCAAGUGUCCAUUACCGUAGGACAAACUAUUGAUAGAUGUUUUCUUCCCUGCAAGGGUGCACCAACUUACCCACCAUGCUCGAUUAACUCCGGCCGGACCCACUUUCCUGGGUCAUGCCCGGCCUCGGCCAAACAAUAUGCUGCAACCCGACCUAGGCUUAAAAGAGAGGUCAAGCACGCCGGACUAAAUCUAUGCCCCUAGGGGUCUUGGGCCAUUGCCCCGGGAACUCCUGCACAUUGCGUGGGCGGCCGGUGAGCAGACCUAGCUACCUCCUUAAAAAGGCAGGAGCUUACCAGUCCAACCCGGCGCGCGCCGCUCACUCGCUGGCGUCUAAUAAGCUUCGGCUGAUGUAUACGACGUAGAACACCCAUACUAUGCCCACGUGAUGGUUAGUGCUAUCAAGCCAGCGGCCCCUCGGAUCAAAUAUCCAAGCCGUUAGUGUGUUGGUAGUGCGGUCACAAGCAGAGACUCACGAAAGAUGUGACCCCGUCGCCCCGUCUCGAGUACUUGCAACAAGGGCUAAGAAUGCCCGGCCACGCCUCGUAAGUAUCUCACGGGCACCUUCCAAGUCAACCCGACUCCACAUCACUCGCUAUUAAGCUCGCGCGGGUACCCCUCAGGGCCGAACCGUCUUUAGUAACAUGGUUCAGUGUAAAGUCAUAGUAACCAUAGUAACUGUGUGUCUAACACCAAGGGGAAAACCCGAGGAAUCACCCCCGGUGAAUUCCACUUGAUGUAAUCAUCAAGGUGAACGUAAGAGGAUCCACCCUCGAGGUUCACACUUGAGGGGUUGCACGACAGAGCCAUAACGGAAGUGGUUAAGGAGGAAAUCACCCCCGAUGACCACGACCGAAUAGCUACACUACAAGGUUAACAUCAGAAGUGCUGAUGAGGUCGCACCCUCGGCACUCGAUAGUAACCCAGUAGUGUCAAGCAACUAAAGGGAAAGUGAUGUGCGGUGCCGGGGCGUGGUCUUCGAUCCCGUUGAUCGGGUCUUCUGAUAAUCCAUCGGGGCAGUCGGGACAAAGUGGGGGUCUUUGAUGGGUCUCUACUGAGCCUAUACUAAACAGUUUAGGAUAAGCAGGUAGGUAACAACAACAUGUUACAAUAAACAGGCUAUGCAUCAGAAUAGGAGCAAACAAUAACAGUAGCAAAAUCUAAUGCAAGCAUGAGAGAAUGGAAUGGGUGAUGUGACACUCCAAAAAAAAAUUAUUUAAUUUUCAACAAAAACCUUGUUGGUUUUGAAGAAGGUCAUUUAAUCUCUUCCAAAGUUUUCUCUCUCAAAACUUUUUCCCUUGGCAAGGAUUUUAUUUUUUGUAUCUUCUUCAACUCUGGUGUUUGAUUAUUAAAAACCUUUCUUCUGAUUGUUCCCUUCUCAAAUAUAUUUUUGGAAUUUAUUUAUUUUCUUUAAAAAGGAACCCUAUGAGUUUUUGGGCUUCUCUUAUUUUGAAACAACCCAUGGUUUUACCAUGUCUCUUGUGGUAAAUCCUCCCAAAACCCCUCCCUCCACUUUGGGUCAAUCCAAACUUUCUGUUCCAACAAGUCCAACCCAUUUUUGGAUUUUAUUUCGUUUAUUCUAUUCCCCAAAACAAUUCCGUCAAUUAUUUUAAGCCUAGAUGAUUUACAAAGGAAGUACCAAAUUUCCUUUGAGUUUUGGUCUCAAACCAACUCCUCUGGAUACCCUUUAGCACCCCCAACCUAGAUCCAUCGAGAUCCACUCUUCUUCUUUUCAAAAUUUUCAAGUUUCAACCUCUGCAAGUUUGGACCAGAUUUGUCAAAUUUGGUGAAAUUCAUAUCUCCUCUUCUCCAAAAAUUCUACCAAAAUUCAGGCAGCCCCCAGAUGCAAUGAGAGGCCACCCCACCAAAAAUCAGCUCAAGGAAAAUUCCCCACAUGCCAAAAUCAUUUCGUCGAACACUUGGCCGGCACUAUUACCGUGCACUUUCAGAAAAUUCAGAGUUUCAGAGAAAUUCAAUGUCGUUUUUCGUCAGAGUGUUGUCACCAAUCAACAAUGCGCCCUGGCGCGUUGCGCACGGCCUCUCCUCCCUAGCUAGAGCACCGCACGCCCUCUUGGACGGGUGCAGGUGUCGGUGGCGGCGAGCAUCACCGACGCCGGCAGCUUCUGCAGUGGCAGAGCCACACAUGGCAGCCAGCGAGAGCCCGUGCCAACUCGCUACGCCGUCCGGCGCCGCCCAUCGCUCCCUUGCUCUCCGCGUGGCCUCAUGCACGCCAGCGCACACCGCAGCACCGUCGCCAUGGCCCGGCAAGCACAGGGCGCGCCCUCUGCCGCCGAUGGGCCCGCGCCGCCCCGUUCCGUCGAACCCACCCAAAGCACCUAAUCCAAACUCGUUUAGCGCCUAAACAGAACCAGAGGAACUCCACGUUGACGCCCAACUCCCUAAACUCCCCGACCAAGCUCUGCGCCGCCGUAACCAUUGUCGGAGAUCUCCGUUCACGGCCACCGCCUCGGAUCGCCUAUAAAAAGGGGCCCCUAGCUCGCCCUCGAGCACGCACCACCACUGCACCCCACCAGGACCCCGCCAAGCCACUAGGAGGACCUCGAGGAGGUCUCCUCCCCCCAACUCCAGCCGCCCCGAUCUGCCUCGGCCACCAGCUCGAUCCACUCCGGUGAGGCCAUCCCCGCCGCCCAAACCUCGUCAGUAGUCUCCUCGAGCACCCAGUGAUCUAACCCAGGCUUCAAUUUGACCUCCGCAGCCCUCCUCGACGAGAUCCAACUCCACCCGAGCCGCCGUCCGCCGGAGCAAGGACCACCGUUGACGUGGUGCUCGCCGACGACCACCACCACCACCCACCGACGCGGAAGGACACGCUGAGCACGUAGGUACUCUCCGAUCCUCCUAACUCGUCGUGGAUCACCNNNNNNNNNNNNNNNNNNNNNNNNNNNNNNNNNNNNNNNNNNNNNNNNNNNNNNNNNNNNNNNNNNNNNNNNNNNNNNNNNNNNNNNNNNNNNNNNNNNNNNNNNNNNNNNNNNNNNNNNNNNNNNNNNNNNNNNNNNNNNNNNNNNNNNNNNNNNNNNNNNNNNNNNNNNNNNNNNNNNNNNNNNNNNNNNNNNNNNNNNNNNNNNNNNNNNNNNNNNNNNNNNNNNNNNNNNNNNNNNNNNNNNNNNNNNNNNNNNNNNNNNNNNNNNNNNNNNNNNNNNNNNNNNNNNNNNNNNNNNNNNNNNNNNNNNNNNNNNNNNNNNNNNNNNNNNNNUAAACGAAACGUUUUCUGAAAGCGUCUUCUGCCAAAGUACGUCUCCCCUCUGGGCUGGCGUAUUCUCAAACAAAACGUCUUCUGUUUUAUAAAAUGAACCCUGAGAAGUUUCUGUUUCAUUACAGAAAGGUCCCUGGAUUAAAACCCUUAUAACUUUUAAACAGAAAAUGAUUUUUGAUUGAUUCUUUUUCUGUCCUCUUUAAAUUUUUGUCUAGUUUUUUCUCAUAUUUAUUUGAAAAAUAUUUGUAAUUUCUUUUGUGCACCUCAUGGUAUUUACGUUAGCGCGUAUGUUUCUUUAUACCAUAGAUACCGAAGGAGGUGACGGAACCGCGAACUUCACCGAGUUAGGCUCCGACUACUCUGAACUAGGCAAGCAGGUUUGAACUUUUGAUAUGAUGAGUGUCUUUGGCAUGUUUGCAUUAAGUAGUUUCAUGGCAUGUUUAUGAGCAUCUCGAUGAAUGUCAUAUUACAUGCAAAGUUGAGGCAAGUGAGUUUCGAAAAUCCAUAAGUUGUUGGAUAUGAGUUUGCAUGGCCAUGUGAUGCCAUGAGAAUGGGUAAGAUGGCAGUGUUGUAGCAUGCCAGUCUUAUGCCAAACUAUUUGACUCCAAUGUCAACAUGAAUCAGUCCAGUUUCCAUCCGUUUUCCUUUCUGUACUACCACAUGUUUUCCGCAAGGGAUAUGGCUUAGUAAGUUGCAAACCGCUUUCCUGGUACACACCAAAUCGAGAGGCCGUGAUGAGGGUUCCAUGGCCCUGGAUUAAAGCCAGUCAUCCGGUCAGGGGGCAUGGGUCUUUCCGGUUGGGACCGAGAGGGGGGCACCCCUUAGAGCGUGUGUAUAUAAAUUUGAUCCCAUGCUAUUCGAAAUUGUGAUCUCCCUGUCUCAAAGUUUUUCUUGAAAGCUGUCUAGGGUGAUUCCUGGCAUCGUGAGGUGGGAUGGGUGUGUACUGGUUAGAUGUGUUUCUGCCGAAAUACCGUAAACGGAACUAGUCCUUCGUGACUACGGAAAUCUGUUGGCUGUGGGUAAUUUAGUACAAACUCUACAGAGUCAAAAAUCCUUUGAAUCAUCUUAUCCAUGUCCAAGUAAUGUGUUCAACUUAUCUUGUCAAGUGUCUGUCUCAGUGACAAAAAAAACUCCGGUGAACCGCAUGAGUGUUAAGUCCGGUUAAAUGUUUAUUCCUGUGGAUGGACUAACCCGUUUAUUAUUGUGUGUUGAAUAUUUCUUAUGAGUAUUAUAUCUUUGUGAAUUUAUCAUAUAUGAAUAAGGAAAUUUAAGCCCUUUCUGUGAUGUCGCUCAGACGUCCGACUGUGGCACGCUUGUUAUUUACUCUCAAUACAAGCCCUUUCUGUGAUGUCGCUCAGACGUCCGACUGUGGCAUGCUUGUUAUUUACUUUCGAUAUAAGCCCGUUUUGUGAUGUCGCUCAGACAUCCGACUUUGGCACGCUUAUUAUUUACUUUCGAUAUAAGCCCUUUCUGCGAUGUCGAUCAGACGUCUGACUGUGGCACGCUUGUUAUUUACUUGCGAUAUAAGCCCUUUCUGCAAUGUCAUUCCAACGUCCGAAUGUGGCACGCAUGUCAGUUACUUUUCAAUAUAAGCCCUUUACGUGGUGUCGCUUAGACGCCCGACUGUGGCAUGAUUAUUUAUUUGUUCACCCUUCGAGGCGUCGCUCCAGACACCCGAUCGAUUUUUAGUUAUUUUUUUGUUGGGAUUUUGGGAAGACUACCACCCGACUCCCUUUUUAUUUAGCAUGUUGUGCUAUUAUUUACUAAAUCGAAUGUGCAUUACUAAUUACUCAUGACGCAUUCAUGCAUGAAUUUGUUAUAUCUUUUGUCCGAACUACUUGCGAGUACUUUCAAAGUACUCACCUGGCUUGUUGAUUUGGCCAGAUGUUGACGAAGGCGAUCUCAUGGAUGAAGAGUUCGAUAGCGAGUCCGACGCCUAGGGGAGUCCUAGUCAGUCUCGAGUGAUCCUGGAUUUGGUUACUGUAUUAUAUCCGCUUCCGCUACCCGAAUAAAUUCAUCGAGCCUCACCUCGACGCUCGAUGAGCUGCCAGUUUAGGAGUCGUGUUAUCCACUCCACUGUGAUAUUCCACCACCACUUUUAUCUCGAGUCAGUAGUAUGCCACCACACCAUUGUGUCAUAUCCGCCAUUAUAUAUAAUUAUUGGCGUGCUUGUAAUAAUUUGUUGAGCAGCCUUAGCUCGACCCUGUAAUAUAUUAUAUGCUACUGGCUUACUGUAUCAAGAAUUUUGUCUACUGGUAAGGAGGAUUUUUCCUCAUACUGGACUCAAAAGAUAGGCUUCUCAAUAAACAUUUUAUUGGAAAACCGGUCGUGACAAGCUUGGUACCAGAGCCAGGCUGACUGUAGGAAGCCACUAGGUGCGAUCGCUAAUCGGUUAUUAGCAUAAUAGAGCUAAUUCAUAUUUUUGCAAAUGUAGUCAUUUUCUGACAGUCGGCAUAAAUUUAUGAUCUGACCAUUCAGAAUUUUUGCCUACUUUUGUAGAUGGCUGACAACAGCUGCGAGUCACAGAUGUUCGCCAACGUGCCUGAUGGGUUCGUCAAGCUCCUCUCCUUCAUCGUUCAGGUCGCGAUGGGGCCAUCAAUGCGCCCAGUCUUCACACUCUAUCAGCACAAGGUCAACGACAGUCUGACCAUGCACCAGGCCGCGGUGCAAUUCAAGGGAGGGCGUGUUGAGUUACACCGCUUCCGGUACUUGGGAAGAGCCAUGCCUAGGGAGAAGCAUGCUAUGCAGAUGGCAGCCCGCGAGGCGAUAGCUCGUCUUAGGGAUGUCCUUCCUUCGAUGAAGACUCGUCGUUACCGCUACCUUCCAUGCCAUGUUCCAUACACCUGUCACUACGCGUUCUCUUGCCCUAGAGGAGAAUGAGACGAGGCUUUUGAGAUGCUUAUUGAGUACCUCCGGGCUCUGGAGGCAGCCUUCGACAACCUGGUGGACGACUUCGUGGCUGCCUGCAUGGACUCAGUCCAUGGCUGUGCCGCCAACAGGAGGGAGCUCCUGCACACCGCACCGCCACUGACUUUCGUCUCGUCCUCAGCAUCUUAUGCACCUACCACUCUCGCCACUGCUCGUCGCCUGCCUACCACCGAAGAGUUCAACCAAGUCAUUGCGCCCACUCCUGUUCGUGUUGCUCCGCCUCUGGCGCCCGCUCCAUCUACUCGGCGCAGCACUACACGUCUGGAGCCUAUUAGCGAGGAGGAGGUCGAGUCCCCAGCCUCACUGCGCCUCACCCUCGGCAGCGCAAAGGAGAUCCUUACCAUCUCCGACUGAGUACACUUAGCCGCCAUGCGAUGUACCGCUUUGUACGAUAUGUUUAUAUGUACAUAAGUUAUGAGGAGUAGCUUGUUUGCGCAUCAUGUAGGAACUGGGAGAAGUGCACUAGCCUAAAUAACAUGUCAGGAAUAUGUACGCAUAUCCUGAGUGAUGUAUUGUAUAAUUACUGCUUGCGUGUAAGAUAUGUAAUGAGCAGUCCUUCUCCGUGCGCAAUCAAUUUGUUUUCUUGAGAAAUCCUGGAGCAUUUAAUUUAUUUCCCAUCUUUGUGAAUUUAUUGAUUUUUGCGACUCUUUUCCCUUUCUUAUGAGUUUUACAAAAUAUAUCCCCAGAGUGAAAAAUGUCUCGUCCCUGGACGCGCUCCAUGCCAACUCAGCCAGAGGAAAAUUAUGGCACACAACCAAGCAACAAUUUCGCAUAGGGGCAGUCAAGUCAACAGGACAGUUAAACAGCACUUUCCCAAAUGUGUCACCUUUAUGAGCAAAGUCAGCAACAACACCAAGAAAUGAUGAACCAAGUCAUCAAUAUGGGAAAUCACCAUGGACAGUAUCAACAGCAAUCCAAGUUAUCUGAGCUACAGAAGACGCGUCCCCAAACAUUUUCUCAUACUGACAAACCUCUUGAGGCCGAAGAUUGGCUCUGAGACAUGGAAAGAAAAUUAAUUAUUGCACAAUGUUCAGACCUCGAGAAAGUACUAUAUGCUCCGCACUAUCUCACAAGAGCAGCUGCAUCAUGGUGGGAAAAUUUCCUACACAUGCACCCUAACGAAAAUGAUAUAACCUCGGAGGAGUUCAAAGAAGGUUUUCACGGGGCGCAUAUUCCUAAAAGUCUUAUGAAGAUCAAGAAGAGAGAGUUUGAUGACCUCAAACAAAGAACCAUGACGGUGUCAGAAUACAACGGUCAGUUUACUCUAUUGUCUCGCUACGCCAACGAAGAGCGUAUGACUGAAAGCAAGAAGAUGGAGAAAUUCCUAGACGGUCUGGCACCCGCACUUAAAUGCCAGCUGGUUGUGCACACUUUUCCAGAUUUCAAAACGCUAGUGGAUAAGGCCAUUACCUUGGAAAAUGAGAGACGCAGCUUGGAGGAUUUCCGCAAACGAAAAAGGGACCAGACAACUCCUGCUCGCAACCACCGAAGCAAGACGGAUUUUCAGAAAGGUGGGAUACACAAACCCACGACAAAUGUCUCACGCCCAAUCAAGAAUUUCCAUGCAAGGGACAAGGAGUUCACAUAUCGCCCAGGCGUCACUUGCUAUGCUUGCGGAGAGGAAGGGCACUAUGCCAAGCAGUGUCCCAAGCCAAGGAACUCGACCCCAAAGCCGAACAACAGUGGCAAUAAUUCAGCGCCCAAGCGAAACAAUUUCAUCCCCAAUAACAACCACAGGAAGGGUCAUCUGAACCACGUGAUCAAAGAGGAAGCACAGAAUGCCCCGGAUAUCGUACUUGGUACGUUUCCUGUCAACACAAUACCUGCCAUGAUUUUGUUUGAUUCUGGAGCUUCUCACUCAUUCAUUUCGAAGAGUUUUGCUUUGCAAAAUAAUUUUUCGAUGCUUCCCUUGGAAAAAUCCAUGAUCAUCAAGUCCCCUGGGAUUAAGCAAGUUACUCAGAGUUACUGCCAAGGUGUGGUUAUUGAGUUUGAAGGAUUGAAGUUUCAUGCCAACCUUAUUGUUUUGGAAAAUAAAGGACUGGAUGUCAUCCUAGGGAUGGAUUGGUUAACCACCAACAAAGGUUUUAUUGACUGUUUCAACCGGACCGUAAUUCUCACCCACCACCACGAGAAGACAAUAAGAGUUUCAGCCAAAGAGAUAAAAAUAUCCCGGCAACUGAGAUUGAACAAGGUGGACGUUUCUGAAUUAAGCAAGGUACCAGUAGUGUGUGAAUUUCCAGACGUAUUUCCCGAAGAACUACCAGGCAUGCCACCAGACCGAGAGAUAGAAUUCUGCAUUGAGCUAGCACCCGGAACCACCCCCAUAUACAAGAAACCAUACAGAAUGGCACCAUCCGAGUUGGUAGAAUUGAAGAAGCAAAUAAAAGAAUUACUGGACAAAGGAUAUAUUCGAGCCAGCUCCUCACCUUUGGGUUCACCAAUUUUAUUUGCCAAGAAGAAGGAUGGGACACUGAGAUUGUGUAUAGACUAUCUUGCACUUAACAUGAUCACAAUCAAGAACAAAUACCCGAUGCCACGGAUAAAUGAUUUAUUUGAUCAGCUCGCUCAGGCCAAGGUCUUCUCAAAAAUUGAUUUAAGGUUGGGAUACCAUCAAUUAAAAGUACGAACAGAAGAUAUCCCCAAGACAGCCUUCACCUCCACAUACGGACUGUAUGAGUUCACAGUAAUGCCAUUUGGACUAACAAAUGCACCCGCAUAUUUUGUUCACCUCAUGAACAAAAUAUUUAUGAAGUUUAUGGACAAGUUUGUUGUGGUAUUCAUCGACGAUAUUCUAAUAUACUCCAAGACCAGAAGAGCACGCUGAACAUCUCAGAGUUGUACUAGGAGAACUCAGGAAACAUCAAUUGUACGCCAAGUUCAGCAAGUGUGAAUUUUGGCUAAGACAGGUAGGUUUUCUAGGCCAUGUACUGACCCAAGAAGGUAUUGCCGUAGACCCGGAAAAAUUCAAGGCCGUACUUGGCUGGAAAUCACCAACCAGUGUAACGGAUGUACGAAGUUUCUUGGGAAUGGCAGGAUACUACCGACGGUUUAUUGAAGGGUUGUCCACCAUAGCAAAACCAAUGACACAGUUACUCAAGAAGGACAAGAAGUUUGAAUGGACGGAAGCUUGCGAGAAAAGUUUCCAAGAACUAAAAAGGAAAUUAACGACAGCACCAAUAUUAAUUGUGCCAGACAUACACAAGAACUUUGAAGUGUAUUGUGACACAUCCCGAAAGGGUCUCGGAUGCGUAUUGAUGCAAGAAGGCAAAGUAGUCGCGUAUGUUUCCAGACAACUUCGCAAGCAUGAAGAAAAUUAUCCCACUCAUGACCUGGAGUUGGCAGCAGUCAUUCAUGCACUCAAGGAAUGGAGACACUUCUUACAUGGAAAUCGUUGUGAAAUAUACACGGACCAUAAAAGCCUCAAGUAUAUUUUCACACAGCCAGAACUCAAUUUACGGCAACGACGCUGGUUGGAAUUGGUAAAAGAUUAUGAUGUUGGUAUCCACUAUCAUCCAGGAAAAGCAAAUGUAGUGGCAGAUGCUCUUAGUCGGAACCCCAGCUCGGACGACAACAGUCUGCAAGGCUUGAGACCUGAAUUCCAACAAGAGUUUGCCAAACUCAACUUGAUGAUGGUCACGGAAGGCACCAUAACAAAUUUGGAAGUACAACCCAACCUUGUGGAGAGGAUUAAAGAAGCUCAGCAUGGACACCCCAGCAUUGAAGGCAUAAAAAGAAAGGUGAGUAUGGGCAAGGCCUCGGAAUUCGUCAUAGACGAUGAGGGAAUAUUAUGGUACGGAGACAGACUCUGCGUGCCAAAUAUAGAGGACCUCAAACAGCAAAUUCUAGCUGAAGCCCACACUGCUCCAUAUUCGAUCCACCCUGGAGGAACCAAAAUGUAUAAGGACAUUCAGGAAAGAUUUUGGUGGCACGGUAUGAAGAGGGAUAUAGCCACCUUCAUUGCAUGUUGCGAUUCUUGUCAACGCAUAAAAGCUGAGCAUCAAAGACCAGCCGGACUACUGCAACCGAACAAGAUACCUGAGUGGAAAUGGGACGAAAUAGGGAUGGAUUUCAUUGUCGGACUACCUCGGUCACAACGCGGGAAUGAUGCCAUAUGGGUCAUCACCGAUAGAUUAACCAAGGUGGCACAUUUCAUUCUAGUGAAGACAGCCCACACCACUUAGAAGCUUGCCAAGAUUUAUCUCUCCCGCAUAGUCUGUCUGCAUGGAGUCCCAAAGACUAUAAUAUCUGACAGAGGCACUCAGUUUGUCUCUAGAUUUUGGGAGCAGCUGCAACAAUCGCUAGGAACUCAACUGGCCUUCAGUACAGCAUACCAUCCCCAGACUGAUGGACAAACUGAACGCGUAAACCAAAUUCUAGAAGACAUGCUGAGAGCAUGUGUCCUCACCUAUGGAACCAGUUGGGAAGAAAGCUUGCCAUACGCAGAGUUCGCAUACAACAACAGUUACCAGGCCAGCCUGCAAAUGGCACCAUUUGAAGCUCUGUACGGGCAGAGAUGUUGUACCCCGCUAAAUUGGUCAGAGACCGGAGACAGCCGUAUCUUCGGCCCAGACAUGCUCAAAGAAGCCGAGGAAAAGGUCAAGCUAAUCAGGGACCGACUCAAGACAGCUCAAAGCCGACAGAAGAGUUAUUACGAUAAAAAACAUCAUGGAGUCAGUUUUGAAACCGGAGAGUAUGUGUACCUGCGAGUAUCUCCUAUGAGGGGCUUGCAACGAUUCAAAAUUAAGGGAAAGCUAGCACCAAGAUUCAUCGGACCAUUCUGUAUAGUGGCACGAAGAGGCAUGGUAGCCUACCAGCUAGAAUUACCCGAAGAAUUAUCCGAUGUCCACGACGUGUUCCACGUCUCGCAGUUGAGGAAGUGCGUAAGCAACCCAGAAAAACAAGUAUCCCAUGAAAACAUUGACGUGCAGCCAGACCUCACCUAUCGGGAACAUCCAAUAAAAAUAUUAGAGGAGUCUGAAAGGAGGACACGACAGAAAACCAUCAAGUUUUUCAGAGUUUAGUGGAGCAAUCACACCGAGAGUGAAGCAACUUGGGAAAGAGAGGAUUUUCUUCGGACAGAGCACCCACACUUAUUUGAGGAUCAGCUGAAAUCUCAGGGACGAGAUUUUUCCUAAGGGGGUAGGUGUUGUGACACUCCAAAAAAAAUUAUUUAAUUUUCAACAAAAACCUUGUUGGUUUUGAAGAAGGUCAUUUAAUCUCUUCCAAAGUUUUCUCUCUCAAAACUUUUUCCCUUGGCAAGGAUUUUAUUUUUUGUAUCUUCUUCAACUCUGGUGUUUGAUUAUUAAAAACCUUUCUUCUGAUUGUUCCCUUCUCAAAUAUAUUUUUGGAAUUUAUUUAUUUUCUUUAAAAAGGAACACUAUGAGUUUUGGGGCUUCUCUUAUUUUGAAACCACCCAUGGUUUUACCAUGUCUCUUGUGGUAAAUCCUCCCAAAACCCCUCCCUCCACUUUGGGGCAAUCCAAACUUUCUGUUCCAACAAGUCCAACCCAUUUUUGGAUUUUAUUUCGUUUAUUCUAUUCCCCAAAACAAUUCUGUCAAUUAUUUUAAGCCUAGAUGAUUUACAAAGGAAGUACCAAAUUUCCUUUGAGUUUUGGUCUCAAAGCAACUCCUCUGGAUAGCCUUUAGCACCCCCAACCUAGAUCCAUCAAGAUCCACUCUUCUUCUUUUCAAAAUUUUCAAGUUUCAACCUCUGCAAGUUUGGACCAGAUUUGUCAAAUUUGGUGAAAUUCAUAUCUCCUCUUCUCCAAAAAUUCUACCAAAAUUCAGGAAGCCCCCAGAUGUAAUGAGAGGCCACCCCACCAAAAAUCAGCUCAAGGAAAAUUCCCCACAUGCCAAAAUCAUUUCGUCGAACACUUGGCCGGCACUGUUACUUUGCACUUUCAGAAAAUUCAGAGUUUCAGAGAAAUUCAGUGUCGUUUUUCGUCAGAGUGUUGUCACCAAUCAACAGUGCGCCCUGGCGCGUUGCGCACGGCCUCUCCUCCCUGGCCAGAGCACCGCACGCCCUCUUGGACGGGUGCAGGUGUCGGUGGCGGCGAGCAUCGCCGACGCCGGCAGCUUCUACAGUGGCAGAGCCACCCAUGGCGACCAGCGAGAGCCCGUGCCAGCUCGCUACGCCGUCCGGCGCCGCCCAUCGCUCCCUUGCCCUCCGCGUGGCCUCAUGCACGCCAGCGCACCCCGCAGCACCGUCGUCGUGGCCCGGCAAGUACAGGGCACACCCUUUGCCGCCGACGGGCCCGCGCCGCCCCGUUCCGUUGAACCCACCCAAAGCACCUAACCUGAACUCGUUUAGCGCCUAAACGGAACCAGCAGAACUCCACGUUGACGCCCAACUCCCUAAACUCCCCAACCAAGCUCUCCGCCGCCGUAACCAUCGCCGGAGAUCUCCGUUCACGGCCACCGCCUCGGAUCGCCUAUAAAAAGGGGCCCCGAGCUCGCCCUCGAGCGCGCACCACCACUGCACCCCACCAGGACCCCGCCAAGCCACUAGGAGGACCUCGAGGAGGUCUCCUCCCCCAACUCCGGCCGCCCCGAUCCGCCUCGGCCACCAGCUCGAUCCACUCCGGUGAGGCCAUCCCCGCCGCCCAAACCUCGUCAGUAGUCUCCUCGAGCACCCAGUGAUCUAACCCAGGCUUCAAUUUGACCUCUGCAGCCCUCCCCGACGAGAUCCAACUCCACCCGAGCCGCCGUCCAUCGGAGCAAGGAACGCCGUCGACGUGGUGCUCGCCGACGACCACCACCACCACCCACUGACGCGGAAGGACACACUGAGCACGUAGGUACUCUCCGAUCCUCCUAAUUUGUCGUGGGUCGCCGCCGGCGACCACCGCAGCUCUCGGGCACCGACGAGCUCUNNNNNNNNNNNNNNNNNNNNNNNNNNNNNNNNNNNNNNNNNNNNNNNNNNNNNNNNNNNNNNNNNNNNNNNNNNNNNNNNNNNNNNNNNNNNNNNNNNNNNNNNNNNNNNNNNNNNNNNNNNNNNNNNNNNNNNNNNNNNNNNNNNNNNNNNNNNNNNNNNNNNNNNNNNNNNNNNNNNNNNNNNNNNNNNNNNNNNNNNNNNNNNNNNNNNNNNNNNNNNNNNNNNNNNNNNNNNNNGUUUUCUAAAAGCGUCUUCUGCCGAAGUACGUCUCCCCUCUGGGCCGGCGUAUUCUCAAACGAAACGUCUUUUGUUUUAUAAAAUCAACCCUGAGAAGUUUCUGUUUCAUUAUAGAAAGGUCCCUAGAUUAAAACCCUUAUAACUUUUAAACAGAAAAUGAUUUUUGAUUGAUUCUUUUUCUGUCCUCUUUAAAUUUUUGUCUAGUUUUUUAUCAUAUUUAUUUGAAAAAUAUUUGGAAUUUCUUUUGUGCACCUCACGGUAUUUACGUUAGCGCGUAUGUUUCUUUAUACCAUAGAUACCGAAGGAGGUGACGGAACCGCGAACUUCACCGAGUUAGGCUCCGACUAGUCUGAACCAGGCAAGAAUGUUUGAACUUUUGAUAUGAUGAGUGUCUUUGGCAUGUUUGCAUUAAGUAGUUUCAUGGCAUGUUUAUGAGCAUCUCGAUGAAUGUCAUAUUACAUGCAAAGUUGAGGCAAGUGAGUUUCGAAAAUCCAUAAGUUGUUGGAUAUGAGUUUGCAUGGCCAUGUGAUGCCAUGAGAAUGGGUAAGAUGGCAGUGUUGUAGCAUGCCAGUCUUAUGCCAAACUAUUUGACUCCAGUGUCAACAUGAAUCAGUCCAGUUUCCAUCUGUUUUCCCUUCCUGUACUACCACAUGUUUUCCGCAAGGGAUAUGGCUUAGUAAGUUGCAAACCGCUUUCCUGGUACACACCAAAUCGAGAGGCCGUGAUGAGGGUUCCAUGGCCCUGGAUUAAAGCCAGUCAUCCGGUCAGGGGGCAUGGGUCUUUCCGGUUGGGACCGAGAGGGGGGCACCCCUUAGAGCGUGUGUAUAUAAAUUUGAUCCCAUGCUAUUCGAAAUUGUGAUCUCCCUAUCUCAAAGUUUUUCUUGAAAGCUGUCUAGGGUGAUUCCUGGCAUCGUGAGGUGGGAUGGGUGUGUACUGGUUAGAUGUGUUUCUGCCGAAAUACCGUAAACGGAACUAGUCCUUCGUGACUACGGAAAUCUGUUGACUGUGGGUAAUUUAGUACAAACUCUGCAGAGUCAAAAAUCCUUUGAAUCAUCUUAUCCAUGUCCAAGUAAUGUGUUCAACUUAUCUUGUCAAGUGUCUGUCUCAGUGACAAAAAAAACUCCGGUGAACCGCAUGAGUGUUAAGUCCGGUUAAAUGUUUAUUCCUGUGGAUGGACUAACCCGUUUAUUAUUGUGUGUUGAAUAUUUCUUAUGAGUAUUAUAUCUUUGUGAAUUUAUCAUAUAUGAAUAAGGAAAUUUAAGCCCUUUCUGUGAUGUCGCUCAGACGUCCGACUGUGGCACGCUUGUUAUUUACUCUCAAUACAAGCCCUUUCUGUGAUGUCGCUCAGACGUCCGACUGUGGCAUGCUUGUUAUUUACUUUCGAUAUAAGCCCGUUCUGUGAUGUCGCUCAGACAUCCGACUGUGGCACGCUUAUUAUUUACUUUCGAUAUAAGCCCUUUCUGCGAUGUCGAUCAGACGUCUGACUGUGGCACGCUUGUUAUUUACUUGCGAUAUAAGCCCUUUCUGCAAUGUCAUUCCAACGUCCGACUGUGGCACGCAUGUCAGUUACUUUUCAAUAUAAGCCCUUUACGUGGUGUCGCUUAGACGCCCGACUGCGGCAUGAUUAUUUAUUUGUUCACCCUUCGAAGCGUCGCUCCAGACACCCGAUCGGUUUUUAGUUAUUUUUUUUGUUGGGAUUUUGGGAAGACUACCACCCGACUCCCUUUUUAUUUAGCAUGUUGUGCCAUUAUUUACUAAAUCAAAUGUGCAUUACUAAUUACUCAUGACGCAUUCAUGCAUGCAUUUGUUAUAUCUUUUGUCCGAACUACUUGCGAGUACUUUCAAAGUACUCACCUGGCUUGUUGAUUUGGCCAGAUGUUGACGAAGGCGAUCUCAUGGAUGAAGAGUUCGAUAGCGAGUCCGACGCCUAGGGGAGUCCUAGUCAGUCUCGAGUGAUCCUGGAUUUGGUUACUGUAUUAUAUCCGCUUCCGCUACCCGAAUAAAUUCAUCGAGCCUCACCUCGACGCUCGAUGAGCUGCCAGUUUAGGAGUCGUGUUAUCCACUCCACUGUGAUAUUCCACCACCACUUUUAUCUCGAGUCAGUAGUAUGCCACCACACCAUUGUGUCAUAUCCGCCAUUAUAUAUAAUUAUUGGCGUGCUUGUAAUAAUUUGUUGAGAAGCCUUAGCUCGACCCUGUAAUAUAUUAUAUGCUACUGGCUUACUGUAUCAAGAAUUUUGUCUACUGGUAAGGAGGAUUUUUCCUCAUACUGGACUCAAAAGAUAGGCUUCUCAAUAAACAUUUUAUUGGAAAACCGGUCGUGACAAGCUUGGUACCAGAGCCAGGCUGACUGUAGGAAGCCACUAGGUGCGAUCGCUAAUCGGUUAUUAGCAUAAUAGAGCUAAUUCAUAUUUUUGCAAAUGUAGUCAUUUUCUGACAGUCGGCAUAAAUUUAUGAUCUGACCAUUCAGAAUUUUUGCCUACUUUUGUAGAUGGCUGACAACAGCUGCGAGUCACAGAUGUUCGCCAACGUGCCUGAUGGGUUCGUCAAGCUCCUCUCCUUCAUCGUUCAGGUCGCGAUGGGGCCAUCAAUGCGCCCAGUCUUCACACUCUAUCAGCACAAGGUCAACGACAGUCUGACCAUGCACCAGGCCGCGGUGCAAUUCAAGGGAGGGCGUGUUGAGUUACACCGCUUUCGGUACUUGGGAAGAGCCAUGCCUAGGGAGAAGCAUGCUAUGCAGAUGGCAGCCCGCGAGGCGAUAGCUCGUCUUAGGGAUGUCCUUCCUUCGAUGAAGACUCGUCGUUACCGCUACCUUCCAUGCCAUGUUCCAUACACCUGUCACUACGCGUUCUCUUGCCCUAGAGGAGAAUGAGACGAGGCUUUUGAGAUGCUUAUUGAGUACCUCCGGGCUCUGGAGGCAGCCUUCGACAACCUGGUGGACGACUUCGUGGCUGCCCGCAUGGACUCAGUCCAUGGCUGUGCCGCCAACAGGAGGGAGCUCCUGCACACCGCACCGCCACUGACUUUCGUCUCGUCCUCAGCAUCUUAUGCACCUACCACUCUCGCCACUGCUCGUCGCCUGCCUACCACCGAAGAGUUCAACCAAGUCAUUGCGCCCACUCCUGUUCGUGUUGCUCCGCCUCUGGCGCCCGCUCCAUCUACUCGGCGCAGCACUACACGUCUGGAGCCUAUUAGCGAGGAGGAGGUCGAGUCCCCAGCCUCACUGCGCCUCACCCUCGGCAGCGCAAAGGAGAUCCUUACCAUCUCCGACUGAGUACACUUAGCCGCCAUGCGAUGUACCGCUUUGUACGAUAUGUUUAUAUGUACAUAAGUUAUGAGGAGUAGCUUGUUUGCGCAUCAUGUAGGAACUGGGAGAAGUGCACUAGCCUAAAUAACAUGUCAGGAAUAUGUACGCAUAUCCUGAGUGAUGUAUUGUAUAAUUACUGCUUGCGUGUAAGAUAUGUAAUGAGCAGUCCUUCUCCGUGCGCAAUCAAUUUGUUUUCUUGAGAAAUCCUGGAGCAUUUAAUUUAUUUCCCAUCUUUGUGAAUUUAUUGAUUUUUGCGACUCUUUUCCCUUUCUUAUGAGUUUUACAAAAUAUAUCCCCAGAGUGAAAAAUGUCUCGUCCCUGGACGCGCUCCAUGCCAACUCAGCCAGAGGAAAAUUAUGGCACACAACCAAGCAACAAUUUCGCAUAGGGGCAGUCAAGUCAACAGGACAGUGAAACAGCACUUUCCCAAAUGUGCCGCCUUUAUGAGCAAAGUCAGCAACAACACCAAGAAAUGAUGAACCAAGUCAUCAAUAUGGGAAAUCACCAUGGACAGUAUCAACAGCAAUCCAAGUUAUCUGAGCUACAGAAGACGCGUCCCCAAACAUUUUCUCAUACUGACAAACCUCUUGAGGCCGAAGAUUGGCUCUGAGACAUGGAAAUAAAAUUAAUUAUUGCACAAUGUUCAGACCUCGAGAAAGUACUAUAUGCUCCGCACUAUCUCACAAGAGUAGCUGCAUCAUGGUGGGAAAAUUUCCUACACAUGCACCCUAACGAAAAUGAUAUAACCUCGGAGGAGUUCAAAGAAGGUUUUCACGGGGCGCAUAUUCCUAAAAGUCUUAUGAAGAUCAAGAAGAGAGAGUUUGAUGACCUCAAACAAAGAACCAUGACGGUGUCAGAAUACAACGGUCAGUUUACUCUAUUGUCUCGCUACGCCAACGAAGAGCGUAUGACUGAAAGCAAGAAGAUGGAGAAAUUCCUAGACGGUCUGGCACCCGCACUUAAAUGCCAGCUGGUUGUGCACACUUUUCCAGAUUUCAAAACGCUAGUGGAUAAGGCCAUUACCUUGGAAAAUGAGAGACGCAGCUUGGAGGAUUUCCGCAAACGAAAAAGGGACCAGACAACUCCUGCUCGCAACCACCGAAGCAAGACGGAUUUUCAGAAAGGUGGGAUACACAAACCCACGACAAAUGUCUCACGCCCAAUCAAGAAUUUCCAUGCAAGGGACAAGGAGUUCACAUAUCGCCCAGGCGUCACUUGCUAUGCUUGCGGAGAGGAAGGGCACUAUGCCAAGCAGUGUCCCAAGCCAAGGAACUCGACCCCAAAGCCGAACAACAGUGGCAAUAAUUCAGCGCCCAAGCGAAACAAUUUCAUCCCCAAUAACAACCACAGGAAGGGUCAUCUGAACCACGUGACCAAAGAGGAAGCACAGAAUGCCCCGGAUAUCGUACUUGGUAUGUUUCCUGUCAACACAAUACCUGCCAUGAUUUUGUUUGAUUCUGGAGCUUCUCACUCAUUCAUUUCGAAGAGUUUUGCUUUGCAAAAUAAUUUUUCGAUGCUUCCCUUGGAAAAAUCCAUGAUCAUCAAGUCCCCUGGGAUUAAGCAAGUUACUCAGAGUUACUGCCAAGGUGUGGUUAUUGAGUUUGAAGGAUUGAAAUUUCAUGCCAACCUUAUUGUUUUGGAAAAUAAAGGACUGGAUGUCAUCCUAGGGAUGGAUUGGUUAACCACCAACAAAGGUUUUAUUGACUGUUUCAACCGGACCGUAAUUCUCAACCACCACCACGAGAAGACAAUAAGAGUUUCAGCCAAAGAGAUAAAAAUAUCCCGACAACUGAGAUUGAACAAGGUGGACGUUUCUGAAUUAAGCAAGGUACCAGUAGUGUGUGAAUUUCCAGACGUAUUUCCCGAAGAACUACCAGGCAUGCCACCAGACCGAGAGAUAGAAUUCAGCAUUGAGCUAGCACCCGGAACCACCCCCAUAUACAAGAAACCAUACAGAAUGGCACCAUCCGAGUUGGUAGAAUUGAAGAAGCAAAUAAAAGAAUUACUGGACAAAGGAUAUAUUCGAGCCAGCUCCUCACCUUUGGGUUCACCAAUUUUAUUUGCCAAGAAGAAGGAUGGGACACUGAGAUUGUGUAUAGACUAUCUUGCACUUAACAUGAUCACAAUCAAGAACAAAUACCCAAUGCCACGGAUAAAUGAUUUAUUUGAUCAGCUCGCUCAGGCCAAGGUCUUCUCAAAAAUUGAUUUAAGGUUGGGAUACCAUCAAUUAAAAGUACGAACAGAAGAUAUCCCCAAGACAGCCUUCACCUCCACAUACGGACUGUAUGAGUUCACAGUAAUGCCAUUUGGACUAACAAACGCCCCCGCAUAUUUUGUUCACCUCAUGAACAAAAUAUUUAUGAAGUUUAUGGACAAGUUUGUUGUGGUAUUCAUCGACGAUAUUCUAAUAUACUCCAAGACCAGAAGAGCACGCUGAACAUCUCAGAGUUGUACUAGGAGAACUCAGGAAACAUCAAUUGUACGCCAAGUUCAGCAAGUGUGAAUUUUGGCUAAGACAGGUAGGUUUUCUAGGCCACGUACUGACCCAAGAAGGUAUUGCCGUAGACCCGGAAAAAUUCAAGGCCGUACUUGGCUCGAAAUCACCAACCAGUGUAACGGAUGUACGAAGUUUCUUGGGAAUGGCAGGAUACUACCGACGGUUUAUUGAAGGGUUGUCCACCAUAGCAAAACCAAUGACACAGUUACUCAAGAAGGACAAGAAGUUUGAAUGGACGGAAGCUUGCGAGAAAAGUUUCCAAGAACUAAAAAGGAAAUUAACGACAGCACCAAUAUUAAUUGUGCCAGACAUACACAAGAACUUUGAAGUGUAUUGUGACGCAUCCCGAAAGGGUCUCGGAUGCGUAUUGAUGCAAGAAGGCAAAGUUUUCGCGUAUGUUUCCAGACAACUUCGCAAGCAUGAAGAAAAUUAUCCCACUCAUGACCUGGAGUUGGCAACAGUCAUUCAUGCACUCAAGGAAUGGAGACACUUCUUACUUGGAAAUCGUUGUGAAAUAUACACGGACCAUAAAAGCCUCAAGUAUAUUUUCACACAGCCAGAACUCAAUUUACGGCAACGACGCUGGUUGGAAUUGGUAAAAGAUUAUGAUGUUGGUAUCCACUAUCAUCCAGGAAAAGCAAAUGUAGUGGCAGAUGCUCUUAGUCGGAACCCCAGCUCGGACGACAACAGUCUGCAAGGCUUGAGACCUGAAUUCCAACAAGAGUUUGCCAAACUCAACUUGAUGAUGGUCACGGAAGGCACCAUAACAAAUUUGGAAGUACAACCCAACCUUGUGGAGAGGAUUAAAGAAGCUCAGCAUGGACACCCCAGCAUUGAAGGCAUAAAAAGAAAGGUGAGUAUGGGCAAGGCCUCGGAAUUCGUCAUAGACGAUGAGGGAAUAUUAUGGUACAGAGACAGACUCUGCGUGCCAAAUAUAGAGGACCUCAAACAGCAAAUUCUAGCUGAAGCCCACACCGCUCCAUAUUCGAUCCACCCUGGAGGAACCAAAAUGUAUAAGGACAUUCAGGAAAGAUUUUGGUGGCACGGUAUGAAGAGGGAUAUAGCCACCUUCAUUGCAUGUUGCGAUUCUUGUCAACGCAUAAAAGCUGAGCAUCAAAGACCAGCCGGACUACUGCAACCGAACAAGAUACCUGAGUGGAAAUGGGACGAAAUAGGGAUGGAUUUCAUUGUCGGACUACCUCGGUCACAACGCGGGAAUGAUGCCAUAUGGGUCAUCACCGAUAGAUUAACCAAGGUGGCACAUUUCAUUCCAGUGAAGACAGCCCACACCACUUAGAAGCUUGCCAAGAUUUAUCUCUCCCGCAUAGUCUAUCUGCAUGGAGUCCCAAAGACUAUAAUAUCUGACAGAGGCACUCAGUUUGUCUCUAGAUUUUGGGAGCAGCUGCAACAAUCGCUAGGAACUCAACUGGCCUUCAGUACAGCAUACCAUCCCCAGACUGAUGGACAAACUGAACGCGUAAACCAAAUUCUAGAAGACAUGCUGAGAGCAUGUGUCCUCACCUAUGGAACCAGUUGGGAAGAAAGCUUGCCAUACGCAGAGUUCGCAUACAACAACAGUUACCAGGCCAGCCUGCAAAUGGCACCAUUUGAAGCUCUGUACGGGCAGAGAUGUUGUACCCCGCUAAAUUGGUCAGAGACCAGAGACAGCCGUAUCUUCGGUCCAGACAUGCUCAAAGAAGCCGAGGAAAAGGUCAAGCUAAUCAGGGACCGACUCAAGACAGCUCAAAGCCGACAGAAGAGUUAUUACGAUAAAAAACAUCAUGGAGUCAGUUUUGAAACUGGAGAGUAUGUGUACCUGCGAGUAUCUCCUAUGAGGGGCCUGCAACGAUUCAAAAUUAAGGGAAAGCUAGCACCAAGAUUCAUCGGACCAUUCUGUAUAGUGGCACGAAGAGGCAUGGUAGCCUACCAGCUAGAAUUACCCGAAGAAUUAUCCGAUGUCCACGACGUGUUCCACGUCUCGUAGUUGAGGAAGUGCGUAAGCAACCCAGAAAAACAAGUAUCCCAUGAAAACAUUGACGUGCAGCCAGACCUCACCUAUCGGGAACAUCCAAUAAAAAUAUUAGAGGAGUCUGAAAGGAGGACACGACAGAAAACCAUCAAGUUUUUCAGAGUUCAGUGGAGCAAUCACACCGAGAGUGAAGCAACUUGGGAAAGAGAGGAUUUUCUUCGGACAGAGCACCCACACUUAUUUGAGGAUCAGCUGAAAUCUCAGGGACGAGAUUUUUCCUAAGGGGGUAGGUGUUGUGACACUCCAAAAAAAAUUAUUUAAUUUUCAACAAAAACCUUGUUGGUUUUGAAGAAGGUCAUUUAAUCUCUUCCAAAGUUUUCUCUCUCAAAACUUUUUCCCUUGGCAAGGAUUUUAUUUUUUGUAUCUUCUUCAACUCUGGUGUUUGAUUAUUAAAAACCUUUCUUCUGAUUGUUCCCUUCUCAAAUAUAUUUUUGGAAUUUAUUUAUUUUCUUUAAAAAGGAACACUAUGAGUUUUGGGGCUUCUCUUAUUUUGAAACCACCCAUGGUUUUACCAUGUCUCUUGUGGUAAAUCCUCCCAAAACCCCUCCCUCCACUUUGGGGCAAUCCAAACUUUCUGUUCCAACAAGUCCAACCCAUUUUUGGAUUUUAUUUCGUUUAUUCUAUUCCCCAAAACAAUUCUGUCAAUUAUUUUAAGCCUAGAUGAUUUACAAAGGAAGUACCAAAUUUCCUUUGAGUUUUGGUCUCAAACCAACUCCUCUGGAUAGCCUUUAGCACCCCCAACCUAGAUCCAUCAAGAUCCACUCUUCUUCUUUUCAAAAUUUUCAAGUUUCAACCUCUGCAAGUUUGGACCAGAUUUGUCAAAUUUGGUGAAAUUCAUAUCUCAUCUUCUCCAAAAAUUCUACCAAAAUUCAGGAAGCCCCCAGAUGUAAUGAGAGGCCACCCCACCAAAAAUCAGCUCAAGGAAAAUUCCCCACAUGCCAAAAUCAUUUCGUCGAACACUUGGCCGGCACUGUUACUUUGCACUUUCAGAAAAUUCAGAGUUUCAGAGAAAUUUAGUGUCGUUUUUCGUCAGAGUGUUGUCACCAAUCAACAGUGCGCCCUGGCGUGUUGCGCACGGCCUCUCCUCCCUGGCCAGAGCACCGCACGCCCUCUUGGACGGGUGCAGGUGUCGGUGGCGGCGAGCAUCGCCGAUGCCGGCAGCUUCUACAGUGGCAGAGCCACCCAUGGCGACCAGCGAGAGCCCGUGCCAGCUCGCUACGCCGUCCGGCGCCGCCCAUCGCUCCCUUGCCCUCCGCGUGGCCUCAUGCACGCCAGCGCACCCCGCAGCACCGUCGUCGUGGCCCGGCAAGUACAGGGCACACCCUUUGCCGCCGACGGGCCCGCGCCGCCCCGUUCCGUUGAACCCACCCAAAGCACCUAACCUGAACUCGUUUAGCGCCUAAACGGAACCAGCGGAACUCCACGUUGACGCCCAACUCCCUAAACUCCCCAACCAAGCUCUCCGCCGCCGUAACCAUCGCCGGAGAUCUCCGUUCACGGCCACCGCCUCGGAUCGCCUAUAAAAAGGGGCCCCGAGCUCGCCCUCGAGCACGCACCACCACUGCACCCCACCAGGACCCCGCCAAGCCACUAGGAGGACCUCGAGGAGGUCUCCUCCCCCAACUCCGGCCGCCCCGAUCCGCCUCGGCCACCAGCUCGAUCCACUCCGGUGAGGCCAUCCCCGCCGCCCAAACCUCGUCAGUAGUCUCCUCGAGCACCCAGUGAUCUAACCCAGGCUUCAAUUUGACCUCUGCAGCCCUCCCCGACGAGAUCCAACUCCACCCGAGCCGCCGUCCAUCGGAGCAAGGAACGCCGUCGACGUGGUGCUCGCCGACGACCACCACCACCACCCACUGACGCGGAAGGACACACUGAGCACGUAGGUACUCUCCGAUCCUCCUAAUUUGUCGUGGGUCGCCGCCGGCGACCACCGCAGCUCUCGGGCACCGACGAGCUCUNNNNNNNNNNNNNNNNNNNNNNNNNNNNNNNNNNNNNNNNNNNNNNNNNNNNNNNNNNNNNNNNNNNNNNNNNNNNNNNNNNNNNNNNNNNNNNNNNNNNNNNNNNNNNNNNNNNNNNNNNNNNNNNNNNNNNNNNNNNNNNNNNNNNNNNNNNNNNNNNNNNNNNNNNNNNNNNNNNNNUCUCUUUUCUUUUAAACGAAACGUUUUCUAAAAGCGUCUUCUGCCGAAGUACGUCUCCCCUCUGGGCCGGCGUAUUCUCAAACGAAACGUCUUUUGUUUUAUAAAAUCAACCCUGAGAAGUUUCUGUUUCAUUAUAGAAAGGUCUCUAGAUUAAAACCCUUAUAACUUUUAAACAGAAAAUGAUUUUUGAUUGAUUCUUUUUCUGUCCUCUUUAAAUUUUUUUCUAGUUUUUUAUCAUAUUUAUUUGAAAAAAAUUUGGAAUUUCUUUUGUGCACCUCACAGUAUUUACGUUAGCGCGUAUGUUUCUUUAUACCAUAGAUACCGAAGGAGGUGACGGAACCGCGAACUUCACCGAGUUAGGCUCCGACUAGUCUGAACCAGGCAAGAAUGUUUGAACUUUUGAUAUGAUGAGUGUCUUUGGCAUGUUUGCAUUAAGUAGUUUCAUGGCAUGUUUAUGAGCAUCUCGAUGAAUGUCAUAUUACAUGCAAAGUUGAGGCAAGUGAGUUUCGAAAAUCCAUAAGUUGUUGGAUAUGAGUUUGCAUGGCCAUGUGAUGCCAUGAGAAUGGGUGAGAUGGCAGUGUUGUAGCAUGCCAGUCUUAUGCCAAACUAUUUGACUCCAGUGUCAACAUGAAUCAGUCCAGUUUCCAUCUGUUUUCCCUUCCUGUACUACCACAUGUUUUCCGCAAGGGAUAUGGCUUAGUAAGUUGCAAACCGCUUUCCUGGUACACACCAAAUCGAGAGGCCGUGAUGAGGGUUCCAUGGCCCUGGAUUAAAGCCAGUCAUCCGGUCAGGGGGCAAGGGUGUUUCCGGUUGGGACCGAGAGGGGGGCACCCCUUAGAGCGCGCGUAUAUAAAUUUGAUCCCAUGCUAUUCGAAAUUGUGAUCUCCCUGUCUCAAAGUUUUUCUUGAACGUUGUCUAGGGUGAUUCCUGGCAUCGUGAGGUGGGAUGGGUGUGUACUGGUUAGAUGUGUUUCUGCCGAAAUACCGUGAACGGAACUAGUCCUUCGUGACUACGGAAAUCUGUUGACUGUGGGUAAUUUAGUACAAACUCUGCAGAGUCAAAAAUCCUUUGAAUCAUCUUAUCCAUGUCCAAGUAAUGUGUUCAACUUAUCUUGUCAAGUGUCUGUCUCAGUGACAAAAAAAACUCCGGUGAACCGCAUGAGUGUUAAGUCCGGUUAAAUGUUUAUUCCUGUGGAUGGACUAACCCGUUUAUUAUUGUGUGUUGAAUAUUUCUUAUGAGUAUUAUAUCUUUGUGAAUUUAUCAUAUAUGAAUAAGGAAAUUUAAGCCCUUUCUGUGAUGUCGCUCAGACGUCCGACUGUGGCACGCUUGUUAUUUACUCUCAAUACAAGCCCUUUCUGUGAUAUCGCUCAGACGUCCGACUGUGGCACGCUUGUUAUUUACUUUCGAUAUAAGCCCGUUCUGUGAUGUCGCUCAGACAUCCGACUGUGGCACGCUUAUUAUUUACUUUCGAUAUAAGCCCUUUCUGCGAUGUCGAUCAGACGUCCGACUGUGGCACGCUUGUUAUUUACUUGCGAUAUAAGCCCUUUCUGCAAUGUCAUUCCAACGUCCGACUGUGGCACGCAUGUCAGUUACUUUUCAAUAUAAGCCCUUUACGUGGUGUCGCUUAGACGCCCGACUGCGGCAUGAUUAUUUAUUUGUUCACCCUUCGAAGCGUCGCUCCAGACACCCGAUCGGUUUUUAGUUAUUUUUUUUGUUGGGAUUUUGGGAAGACUACCACCCGACUCCCUUUUUAUUUAGCAUGUUGUGCCAUUAUUUACUAAAUCAAAUGUGCAUUACUAAUUACUCAUGACACAUUCAUGCAUGCAUUUGUUAUAUCUUUUGUCCGAACUACUUGCGAGUACUUUCAAAGUACUCACCUGGCUUGUUGAUUUGGCCAGAUGUUGACGAAGGCGAUCUAAUGGAUGAAGAGUUCGAUAGCGAGUCCGACGCCUAGGGGAGUCCCAGUCAGUCUCGAGUGAUCCUGGAUUUGGUUACUGUAUUAUAUCCGCUUCCGCUACCCGAAUAAAUUCAUCGAGCCUCACCUCGACGCUCGAUGAGCUGCCAGUUUAGGAGUCGUGUUAUCCACUCCACUGUGAUAUUCCACCACCACUUUUAUCUCGAGUCAGUAGUAUGCCACCACACCAUUGUGUCAUAUCCGCUAUUAUGUAUAAUUCUUCGCGUGCUUGUAAUAAUUUAUUGAGCAGCCUUAGCUCGACCAUGUAGUAUAUUAUAUGCUAUUGGCUUACUGUAUCAAGAAUUUUGUCUACCGGUAAGGAGUAUUUUUCCUCAUACUGGACUCAAAAGAUCGGCUUCUCAAUAAACAUUUUAUUGGAAAACUGGUCGUGACAGGUGAUAUCAGGAUGAUCAAAGGGGAGGCUUGCCUGGAAGCUCCGAUGAAAGGGGAGAAGGGUCGUUGUCGAAGUAGUCGAUCACAGGGACAUCCACAGCGGUCUCGGGGUCUACCGGGGAGAAGAAGAAGGGGAAGGAACAAUGAAUAUAGAGCAAACAAGAGCAAUACUAUGCAUGAAAAGACAAAAAGCAAUGCUAGGGGUGUUCUAACGCAGUACUACGCGAUACCGGCAAAGGGAGGAAACAUCCGGAAAAGUUUUCCCGAAGUUUGGCAUUUUCGACAAAUGAAACGAAGGGGGACGGUUGCAGGUUUGCUAUGCUAGGGAGUGUGGCAGACGAACGGGCUGUAUAUUCAGAUUCGUCUCGUUGUUCUGAACAACUUUCAUGUAUAAAACUUUUUCAUCCGAGCUAGGAAUUAUUUUCUAUUAUUUUUCAAUGAUUUACUAAUAUUCUGGAAUUUCUGGAAUUAUUAUAUUUAAUUAAUUCGAAUUGACCAAGUCAACUUGACUAGUCAAAAGGGCAGGUGUGGCCCACAUGUCAUAUACUAUUCACCUAAACAAAUAAAUAAACCUAACUUAUUAAAGGAGGCGUACAUGUCAUCUACUAAUAGACAACUUAGAACUAAACUAGUACUACUAUUAAGCCUAGCCUAAUUAAACCAAUGGCCGGCCGGCGGCAUAGCCAGCCGUGUCUGUACUCACGCACGUACACACUACACACGCACAAUGGCCAUGGCCACAACCAGUGCAGCCGCAUGAGCAAGUAGCAGCAGCAAUUAGAGUAGCAGCAGCACUAGCUAGUGGGAUUGGAGGAGCGGCAGCAGCACUAAACAGCAGCGGCGCCGGCGCAACAGCAAGCAGUGACGGGAGCAGGGCGCAGCAGCGCCCUGCCAGCAGCAGCAAGCCGAGGCCAUGCGUGGGCGUGCACCACAAUAGCAUGCCGCGACGAGGCCACGCAUGGGCGUGCGCGCACAGCAGCAAUAGCGACAGGGCAGGAGCAGCAACUACACACACACACAUACACAUACACGGGGGUUCGGGCGAUGGCGAACAACGGCGUAAAGAGACACGGAUUGAAGGGGGAAAGGGGUGGAAUCGGCCGAGGAGCUCACCACUAAGCUCUGAGACGUGGAUUCGCGGCGCGGGGGCGACCGGAUGCGACGAGCUCGACGAUGAGAGACGACGGCCGUGGCGGAAAAUCAGCUCGAUCCCGAGCGUAUAGUGCGGCUCCGGUCGAACGGACGCACGGAGAUGACGGAGUCGGUGACUAGGAAGUCCCUGGACAAGCUCCCGUUCGCCGGGAAGGUCAGUGGCCACGGGGACGGCGACAGCGCAUCGACGGUAGCUCGGGCAUGAGGUUCUCAGGAGAAACAUGAGUGGGAGAGGGGAUAUUUGUGGGCUAGGGUUUGUCUACAGCGACGAGGGGGAUCUUAUCCUUCUCGAUGUGUUGUGGAUGCUCGAUACGAGCUAAUCGGGCG
Molecule: long non-coding RNA, 27727 nt
Filed under: Triticum aestivum (bread wheat)
Lineage: Eukaryota; Viridiplantae; Streptophyta; Magnoliopsida; Poales; Poaceae
Description: long non-coding RNA (TAES_LNC020681)
Source: RNAcentral